UCGCCGCUCCUCUUCUCAUCUUCUCUCUUUCUCCCUGGCGAUUCUAGGGUUUCAACACCAGAUCGACUUCUCUCUUCCUCAUUAUCAUCACGUGAGGAACUCUCCGACACAAGACCGACUUCCUCAUUAUCAUCACCACCAUUUCCUCUCCUUCUCCGGGCGAUUCUAGGUUGUACAUGUAGCAGUCACUUCAAGAUCUACGCUUCCUCAGUGAUGAAUCUCUCUAGAUCCGACACCAGAUUGAUCUACGGUUUGGUUGUGGGUGGAAGAUGAUGAAGAUGUCAUAGAUCUACCGUUUGGUGGCCAGAUUUAUCUGUGUUGGAGGUUAAAGAAUGGGUUCAAGCUCAGUUGGGUCGGAUUGAAGAAGAAACCAGACGUUUAGCUUCCAUUCAAGAGGUAUCCGGUGCCGCAGCGGGCGGAAAGUUAUGGAUGCAGUGAAGAGUAUUUUGGAUGGUGGAUUAGAGAGAGGAAAAUGGGUGUUUGAAUCAAUUAUGAAAUUGAAAAGCUCUGUUUGCCACAAAGGCUGCGUGUUGCUUGUCAGCUGUUUUUACCGUGUUGCUUGGUUUCAGGCGUUAUUGUGCAGAAUGAAGUAAACCUGGGUAUUCGCUUACUCUGAUGUUACUCCUUUAAUCUAGAAGAUAGUCUUAGAAGAGUUGAAGAUAUAGUCCCACAAACUAUUAGUUCUCAAGUAGCAACAAAAACUUCAGUUACUGCACCUUUUGAAGGCAAAAUUUGUUUUGAAAUAUUGAUUUGGCUAGAUGCUUGGGUUGGAUAACGGGUCAAAACAGGUUCUGUUUUGAGACGGGCUGUAUUGGGUUGGAUUGAGUGAGAUGGCAGGUUAAAUUGGGUAAUGGGUCAGACGGAUUGAGUGAAUCGCAACAAAUCACUUUCAGUACGGGUCAAAACGAGCCGUUGGGAUCUGCGGAAUUCUUUAUGAAGGAAUCAAAGUUUUUAAUACACGGAAGCGGUAAAGACAAUCCCUAGGCGGUACCUCACCGCCGACUAGCGCCUAGCGCCUUCUACAACAUUGAAUCCUCCAACGGGAUUCGUGUUUGAAAAGCAACAAAUGCGAGGAUUAUAUUUCAAUCAAUCUCCCGCAAAGGAGGAACAACGAUUCAAUGAUUGCAACUGUUGAAUCAACAAAACUAGAUUAUGAAUGGAGGAACGACUGAACAAAACAUGUUGGAGCUGAUUCAUUCGCAUUGGCGAAGGGAUCCAGUUUGUGAGGUGCGGUGUCUUGGCGUUCCGACUGUCGACACGCGAACCCUCUGUCGCGUUCUACAAGUUUGUUCAGACAAUUUUGAUUCAUCACUUAGGUUCUGUAAGUAGAUUAAGUUAACUGUUUAAGUGAAGCAUUUAUGGUUAAUGUUAGUUGAAAUGAAAGGAGAAAACUGGUGGUAAGAUUCUUCUUAGGACUGGUGGUGUGUUGUAUCUUUUUCGGGGUAAACAUUAUGAUCCGCACAACAGGCCGAAAUACCAUGUGAUUCUGUGGAAGCCUGCAACUCCGGUUUACCCAAAGCUUAUACAAGAAUCACCAGAAGGGUUGACGAAAGAAGAAGCUGAUGAGCUGAGAAUGAAAGGGAAAAAACUUCCCCCGAUUUGUAAACUAGGUAAGAACGGUUGGAGAGUAGAAAUGUCUCACAACUGUAGAGGAUCCGGAGGUGGCGGAGGGCGCGUGGAGGUCGUGGUCGCUCUGGUGGUUCUGAUUUGAAAUGCUACCAGUGUGGUGACGUUGGCCAGUUUGCUCGUGAGUGCCGUGGUGGCGGUGGUGAUAGACGCCGCCGCCGCGGCCGUAGCCCAGUCAACAGGUACCGACGGAGUCCUAGCUACGGUCAGAGGUGUGAAUAAUACUGCACAUGAAGUUUUUAGAUGGGCUCGGCAUCCCUACUGAAGAUGUUCUGGUUGAUCAGUUUACUUCUUUGGGUCGCAUGCUCUACAAGGCUCCAUCUAAUGAAAAGUGGGGAGAACAUGAAGGGGAGUGGGAGCGGCAGCAAACUUACUACUGCAACGGAUGAUGACCUAGAAUUUGAUGUUCAUGAGGAAUCUUCAGAUAGUUUUCUACUCUGGAUAAACAAUGGAGAGACUCUAUGCCACUAAUGCGUCCGCGUUGAUGAAAUGAGUUGUUUGAAACGGGUCGUGUUAGUCGACCUAAAAUCAGUUAUUUUCAUGUUCGGGGAGCGUCAAGAAUUGCCGUCCCUUGUGUGGCAUUUGACUGAUUUUGUGUGUGAAUGCAUGAUUGAUACACGCAUUGAAGGGGGUGAAAAGAGAGGAUGUUCAACUGGCUACAAAAUUUGGGAUCAAAUAUGGGUAGAGAAUGGGUGAGGUGGAAAUCCAUGGUGAACCGGAAGAAGUGAUAGCAAACGUGGUGGAAGGAAGCAGGAUGUUAGGAAAGACUGUUGUGAAGGUGAAGAAGUUCGUGAUGAUUUAGAAAUGAAUGAUCGAGAAGUUGUUGCUAAAACGAGUCAUUAUGCUUAGUUUAAUAAGUUAGAAUCUGAAGAUGAUAUACUUGCCCUGAAACUUUCAUCGUUAGGAACCUUGACAUCGAAUGUGAGCUCUUUGUCCAAUGAAGAGUCGGGCAAUGUCUCCACUGUCAAUUCGCUUUCCGUUAGAGAUCCUACAUCAAGCUUUACGAUUCUCCACCAAAAUCAUCAACCGAAGAAGACGAUGAGCUAGCAAAAUUUCCUGCUUCUCGGAAGAAGAAAUUGAGGUUGCUGCAGAGAGGCCAGAUCCUAUGAUAUUUCUAUAAAGCAUGCGGAGUUUAUAUGCGUAGAAGACGAGGAAGUAGUCCGUGUAGGCCGGUCAAAACAGUCAGCGUGCUAAUGGAGGAGUUUUUUUGUUGCAGAUCUACCAAUUGGAUGGUGCUAGAGGUUGAAAUUCUGACUGUGAUGCCUAGCAAGUCAUUUUUUAUUCAGAUGGGAUCUGCAAAUUAUUAAUUUGACAUUGCUCAAAUUGGAGGUAGGAUAGUGGUGGAGAAGACGAAAGGAAAGAAGGCAGAGGUGGUGACGAGAGAGUACAACAUUAAUCUUGACAAACGGCUGCCUGGAUGGUAUAUUGUUUAUAGUGGUUGAUUAAAAUUUUCGAGUUCUGUAUUGGAUUUUUGAUAUUCUGAUGGCUUGAUUCACUCUUUUUGAUGUUCGAUUGCGUCUAAAGUUGUGAAAAUUUUAAAUCGCAGUUGCGAUUCUGUUAAAAUGUAGUUAUGUCUACUUGAUGUGUGGAUCAAUUGUACACAAUUUGUAGGGUUUUAAUUUGUUUAUUGGUUAUUGCUGAUGCUUUAUUAAUUUGGAUGCCAA
Helianthus annuus (common sunflower) is the source of this 3290-nucleotide long non-coding RNA. RefSeq lists it as uncharacterized. Lineage: Eukaryota; Viridiplantae; Streptophyta; Magnoliopsida; Asterales; Asteraceae. The record is from RefSeq and is a predicted model, not a curated record. The transcript has 15 exons.